CUAUGCAGAGAGUGGGUGGGACGGCUCUCUAUGUCACAGCCCAGCCAAAAGAGGAAAUGAAGGGGUGCGGAGGAACAGAAGAUACCAAGUAUGUGCUUAACAAGGACUCCAUUUUAAAACUGCAACACAUAUUAGAAGUGCUUAUUUCCCCCUUAAACUUUAUCUAUCUCAGCCUGUCAGUUCAGCUGACUCCUGUGAUGUCACCAGACGUCCGCUCUUCACUCCAGAACACUGUGUCUCCAUUAGCCGUGCUCCACACUGCAGCUCUGAGCAUUUAAUCAC
Bombina bombina (fire-bellied toad) is the source of this 282-nucleotide long non-coding RNA. RefSeq lists it as uncharacterized. The transcript has 3 exons. The record is from RefSeq and is a predicted model, not a curated record. NCBI's taxonomy places the organism in Eukaryota, Metazoa, Chordata, Amphibia, Anura, Bombinatoridae.